AUACGGAGGGGGUUAGCGUUGUUCGGAAUUACUGGGCGUAAAGCGCGCGUAGGCGGAUUGGUAAGUUAGAGGUGAAAUCCCGGGGCUCAACCCCGGAACUGCCUUUAAUACUGCCAGUCUUGAGUUCGAGAGAGGUGAGUGGAAUUCCUAGUGUAGAGGUGAAAUUCGUAGAUAUUAGGAGGAACACCAGUGGCGAAGGCGGCUCACUGGCUCGAUACUGACGCUGAGGUGCGAAAGCGUGGGGAGCAAACAGGAUUAGAAACCCGAGUAGUCC
RNAcentral lists this ribosomal RNA (274 nucleotides) under uncultured bacterium. RNAcentral describes it as "partial 16S ribosomal RNA". It matches the Rfam family "Bacterial small subunit ribosomal RNA", at positions 523 to 796 of the family's 1533-position model. The record is from RNAcentral.